GCCCAGAUGGCGGAAUUGGUAGACGCGCUGGAUUCAAAAUCCAGUGAUAGCAAUAUCGUGCGGGUUCGAUUCCCGCUCUGGGUA
Molecule: transfer RNA, 84 nt
Filed under: Apibacter muscae
Lineage: Bacteria; Pseudomonadati; Bacteroidota; Flavobacteriia; Flavobacteriales; Weeksellaceae
Rfam family: tRNA
About the family: Transfer RNA (tRNA) molecules are approximately 80 nucleotides in length. Their secondary structure includes four short double-helical elements and three loops (D, anti-codon, and T loops). Further hydrogen bonds mediate the characteristic L-shaped molecular structure. tRNAs have two regions of fundamental functional importance: the anti-codon, which is responsible for specific mRNA codon recognition, and the 3' end, to which the tRNAs corresponding amino acid is attached (by aminoacyl-tRNA synthetases). tRNAs cope with the degeneracy of the genetic code in two manners: having more than one tRNA (with a specific anti-codon) for a particular amino acid; and 'wobble' base-pairing, i.e. permitting non-standard base-pairing at the 3rd anti-codon position.
Source: Rfam by way of RNAcentral